GACGAACGCUGGCGGCGUGCUUAACACAUGCAAGUCGAGCGAUGAAGCUCCUUCGGGAGUGGAUUAGCGGCGGACGGGUGAGUAACACGUGGGUAACCUGCCUCAUAGAGGGGAAUAGCCUUCCGAAAGGAAGAUUAAUACCGCAUAAGAUUGUAGUUUCGCAUGAAACAGCAAUUAAAGGAGUAAUCCGCUAUGAGAUGGACCCGCGUCGCAUUAGCUAGUUGGUGAGGUAACGGCUCACCAAGGCGACGAUGCGUAGCCGACCUGAGAGGGUGAUGGGCCACAUUGGGACUGGGACACGGGCCAGACUCCUACGGGAGGCGGCAGUGGGGAAUAUUGCACAAUGGGGGAAACCCUGAUGCAGCAACGCCGCGUGAGUGAUGACGGUCUUCGGAUUGUAAAGCUCUGUCCUCAAGGAAGAUAAUGACGGUACUUGAGGAGGAAGCCCCGGCUAACUACGUGCCAGCCGCCGCAGUAA
This 478-nucleotide ribosomal RNA is filed under the name uncultured bacterium. RNAcentral's name for it is "partial 16S ribosomal RNA". It matches the Rfam family "Bacterial small subunit ribosomal RNA", at positions 28 to 523 of the family's 1533-position model. The record is from RNAcentral.